GCCAAGAUCGUGCCAUUGCACUCCAGCCUGGGUAACGAGCAAAACUCCAUCUCAAAAACAAAAAGACUGUACUGGCCAGUUUAUAGCCAGUAUAUACUACACACACACACACACACACACACACACACAGCCAGUAUAUACUACACAAACACAGCCAGUAUAUACUACACACACACACACAGCCAGUAUAUACUACACACACACACACAGCCAGUAUAUACUACACACACACACAUACACACAGCCAGUAUAUACUACACACACACAGCCAGUAUAUACUACACACACACAUACACACACACAGCCAGUAUAUACUACACACACACAGCCAGUAUAUACUACACACACACACACAGCCAGUAUAUACUACACACACACACACAGCCAGUAUAUACUACACACACACACAUACACACAGCCAGUAUAUACUACACACACACACACAUACACACAGCCAGUAUAUACUACACACACACACAUACACACAGCCAGUAUAUACUACACACACACACACAGCCAGUAUAUACUACACACACACACAUACACACAGCCAGUAUAUACUACACACACACACACACAGCCAGUAUAUACUACACACACACACACAGCCAGUAUAUACUACACACACACACACACACACACAGCCAGUAUAUACUACACACACACACACACAGCCAGUAUAUACUACACACACACAUACACACACACAGCCAGUAUAUACUACACACACACACACACACACACACACAGCCAGUAUAUACUACACACACAUACACACACACAGCCAGUAUAUACUACACACACACACACACACAGCCAGUAUAUACUACACACACACACACACAGCCAGUAUAUACUACACACACACACACAGCCAGUAUAUACUACACACACACACACACACACACAGCCAGUAUAUACUACACACACACACACACACAGCCAGUAUAUACUACACACACACACACACAGCCAGUAUAUACUACACACACACACACACAGCCAGUAUAUACUACACACAUACACACACACAGCCAGUAUAUACUACACACACACACACACAGCCAGUAUAUACUACACACACACACACACACAGCCAGUAUAUACUACACACACACACAUACACACACACACAACCAGUAUAUACUACACACACACACACAGCCAGUAUAUACUACACACACACACAGCCAGUAUAUACUACACACACACACACAGCCAGUAUAUACUACACACACACAUACACACACACAGCCAGUAUAUACUACACACACACACACACACACACAGCCAGUAUAUACUACACACACACACACAGCCAGUAUAUACUACACACACACACACACAGCCAGUAUAUACUACACACACACACACAGCCAGUAUAUACUACACACACACACACACAGCCAGUAUAUACUACACACACACACAUACACACAGCCAGUAUAUACUACACACACACAGCCAGUAUAUACUACACACACACAUACACACACACAGCCAGUAUAUACUACACACACACAGCCAGUAUAUACUACACACACACACACAGCCAGUAUAUACUACACACACACACAUACACACAGCCAGUAUAUACUACACACACACACACAGCCAGUAUAUACUACACACACACAUACACACACACAGCCAGUAUAUACUACACACACACACACACACACACAGCCAGUAUAUACUACACACACACACACACAGCCAGUAUAUACUACACACACACAUACACACACACAGCCAGUAUAUACUACACACACACACACACACACAGCCAGUAUAUACUACACACACACAUACACACACACAGCCAGCAUAUACUACACACACACACACACACACAGCCAGUAUAUACUACACACACACACACACAGCCAGUAUAUACUACACACACACACACACACACACAGCCAGUAUAUACUACACACACACACACACAGCCAGUAUACUACACACACACACACAGCCAGUAUAUACUACACACAUACACACACACAGCCAGUAUAUACUACACACACACACACACAGCCAGUAUAUACUACACACACACACACACACAGCCAGUAUAUACUACACACACACACACACACAGCCAGUAUAUACUACACACACACACAUACACACACACACAACCAGUAUAUACUACACACACACACACACACAGCCAGUAUAUACUACGCACACACACACACACACAGCCAGUAUAUACUACACACACACACACAGCCAGUAUAUACUACACACACACACACACAGCCAGUAUAUACUACACACACACACACAGCCAGUAUAUACUACACACACACACACACAGCCAGUAUAUACUACACACACACACACAGCCAGUAUAUACUACACACACACAUACACACACACAGCCAGUAUAUACUACACACACACACACACACACAGCCAGUAUAUACAACACACACACACACACAGCCAGUAUAUACUACACACACACACACACACAGCCAGUAUAUACUACACACACACACACACAGCCAGUAUAUACUACACACACACACACACACAGCCAGUAUAUACUACACACACACACACAGCCAGUAUAUACUACACACACACACACACAGCCAGUAUAUACUACACACACACACACACACACAGCCAGUAUAUACUACACACACACACACACAGCCAGUAUAUACUACACACACACACACACACACACAGCCAGUAUAUACUACACACACACACACACAGCCAGUAUAUACUACACACACACACACACAGCCAGUAUAUACUACACACACACACACACAGCCAGUAUAUACUACACACAUACACACACACACAGCCAGUAUAUACUACACACACACACACACACAGCCAGUAUAUACUACACACACACACACACACAGCCAGUAUAUACUACACACACACACACACACAGCCAGUAUAUACUACACACACACACACAGCCAGUAUAUACUACACACACACACACACAGCCAGUAUAUACUACACACACACACACACACACAGCCAGUAUAUACUACACACACACACACACAGCCAGCAUAUACUACACACACACACACACACACAGCCAGUAUAUACUACACACACACACACACAGCCAGUAUAUACUACACACACACACACACACACAGCCAGUAUAUACUACACACACACACACACAGCCAGUAUAUACUACACACACACACACACACACACAGCCAGUAUAUACUACACACACACACACACAGCCAGUAUAUACUACACACACACACACAGCCAGUAUAUACUACACACAUACACACACACACAGCCAGUAUAUACUACACACACACACACAGCCAGUAUAUACUACACACACACACACACAGCCAGUAUAUACUACACACACACACACACACAGCCAGUAUAUACUACACACACACAUACACACACACAGCCAGUAUAUACUACACACACACACACACACACAGCCAGUAUAUACUACACACACACAUACACACACACAGCCAGUAUAUACUACACACACACACACAGCCAGUAUAUACUACACACACACACACACAGCCAGUAUAUACUACACACACACACACACAGCCAGUAUAUACUACACACACACAUACACACACACAGCCAGUAUAUACUACACACACACACACACACAGCCAGUAUAUACUACACACACACAUACACACACACAGCCAGUAUAUACUACACACACACACACAGCCAGUAUAUACUACACACACACAUACACACAGCCAGUAUAUACUACACACACACACACACAGCCAGUAUAUACUACACACACACAGCCAGUAUAUACUACACACACACAUACACACACACAGCCAGUAUAUACUACACACACACAUACACACACACACAGCCAGUAUAUACUACGCACACACAUACACACACACACAGCCAGUAUAUACUUGCUACCCAUCAUGUAUAAUCCAGAUGCAGCUUUUUCUCUUCUUUGUUCUUAUCCUAACUUAUUUUUUUCAAAUACUAUAUUACUUUCAAUCUUCAAAUUCAAACGAAAUGUGCUGUGGUUUUGAGAAUUUCUGUUUGUUUUUGCUUUGGGUUUGGUUUAGGGUUUGUAUGUUGGCAGAUGCCAGUACAGCUAUCCCAAACAUCACACGUCCCUCUAUCCAUCCCCAGCCCCGGCUUAGCAGAAUUCCUGUUGACAGAAGUAAACGUCUUCACUCAAGGAUCUUCUCGGUACAGACUGGGCUGCCACUCAAACCAAACACUGGGGUAAGUAACGUAUUCCAAAUGCAUGCAAGAAAGCACAUAUUGCUUUAA
Molecule: long non-coding RNA, 4302 nt
Filed under: Callithrix jacchus (white-tufted-ear marmoset)
Lineage: Eukaryota; Metazoa; Chordata; Mammalia; Primates; Cebidae
Description: lncRNA (ENSCJAG00000087096.1)
Source: RNAcentral